AAGAAGUGCCAAUAAACCAGAGCACGUUUUUCUCCCAUCCCGGAAUGUUGUGUGGACUAGCCAGACCCUCCUCCGCAGCGCUGUGGAGGAAGCCUAAAAUCUCUUGUUUCUCAAACCAACUCUGGUGGCUUGGACAGGACAGAUCGUGUCACGCUGUUACAACAGAUUUCAUCAUUUCAUCACGUACGAUACAUCUCAGUUAACUUUGUGACUUACCUCGGCUAUAUUUCUAAAGUUUAUUAAUCUUCGCAUACCCCAGAUUGCCUGUGAACAACCCUCCACAGAACAGAUGUGAACUCAGACGUUAUUAGUCGCUGGUUAAACACGUACGGUAGCAGGGGAGAGCAAUACCAACAGCAACUGUGAUGUUUCCCAGUCGAGAACUUUAGAAAUGUCCUCAUGCACAAAACGGCUCCACAAAGAAAUGGUUUUCCCCGUUUGGUGUGGAGGAACUUGGCUGGUCUGCAUAGAGCCCUCACCCCCAUCACUGCAGCCAGCAUCAAACAGCUGGAUAAAUGCCUAAAAACCAGAAGAAUGGAAGCUGUUAGAGCGGCGUCAGCAUGCUUCAAAACAACGUCUGAAACAAUGGAAGGAUGGAUUGCCCAGAGUGCAAGAUCAUUGAUGUCUUUGAGUAAAGUGUGCAGAUGUUUCCCCAUUUGAACGAUUAUGCUGUCUCACCUCCAGUGGUGGAAUGUAACUAAGUACAUUUACUCAAGUACUGUACUUACACUAAGUAC
Sander lucioperca (pikeperch) is the source of this 737-nucleotide long non-coding RNA. RefSeq lists it as uncharacterized. NCBI's taxonomy places the organism in Eukaryota, Metazoa, Chordata, Actinopteri, Perciformes, Percidae. The transcript has 3 exons. The record is from RefSeq and is a predicted model, not a curated record.